RNAcentral lists this ribosomal RNA (968 nucleotides) under uncultured beta proteobacterium. RNAcentral describes it as "bacterial SSU rRNA". It matches the Rfam family "Bacterial small subunit ribosomal RNA", at positions 8 to 967 of the family's 1533-position model. Lineage: Bacteria; Pseudomonadati; Pseudomonadota; Betaproteobacteria. The record is from RNAcentral.
AGAGUUUGAUCCUGGCUCAGGAUGAACGCUAAGGCCUAACACUGCAAGUCGAGGGGUACCAUGCAGUCGAACGGUAACAGGUUAAGCUGACGAGUGGCGAACGGGUGAGUAAUGCAUCGGAACGUGCCCGGUCGUGGGGGAUAACGCAGCGAAAGCUGCGCUAAUACCGCAUACGAUCUGAGGAUGAAAGCGGGGGACCGUAAGGCCUCGCGCGAUCGGAGCGGCCGAUGUCAGAUUAGGUAGUUGGUGGGGUAAAGGCUCACCAAGCCGACGAUCUGUAGCUGGUCUGAGAGGACGACCAGCCACACUGGGACUGAGACACGGCCCAGACUCCUACGGGAGGCAGCAGUGGGGAAUUUUGGACAAUGGGCGCAAGCCUGAUCCAGCAAUGCCGCGUGCAGGAAGAAGGCCUUCGGGUUGUAAACUGCUUUUGUACGGAGCGAAAAGGUCUUCCCUAAUACGGGAGGCUGAUGACGGUACCGUAAGAAUAAGCACCGGCUAACUACGUGCCAGCAGCCGCGGUAAUACGUAGGGUGCGAGCGUUAAUCGGAAUUACUGGGCGUAAAGCGUGCGCAGGCGGUUUUGUAAGACAGGCGUGAAAUCCCCGGGCUCAACCUGGGAAUGGCGCUUGUGACUGCAAAGCUGGAGUGCGGCAGAGGGGGAUGGAAUUCCGCGUGUAGCAGUGAAAUGCGUAGAUAUGCGGAGGAACACCGAUGGCGAAGGCAAUCCCCUGGGCCUGCACUGACGCUCAUGCACGAAAGCGUGGGGAGCAAACAGGAUUAGAUACCCUAGUAGUCCACGCCCUAAACGAUGUCAACUGGUUGUUGGGUCUUUGCUGACUCAGUAACGAAGCUAACGCGUGAAGUUGACCGCCUGGGGAGUACGGGCCGCAAGGUUGAAACUCAAAGGAAUUGACGGGGACCCGCACAAGCGGUGGAUGAUGUGUUUAAUUCGAUGCAACGCGAAAA